RNAcentral lists this ribosomal RNA (406 nucleotides) under uncultured bacterium. RNAcentral's name for it is "partial 16S ribosomal RNA". It matches the Rfam family "Bacterial small subunit ribosomal RNA", at positions 30 to 526 of the family's 1533-position model. The record is from RNAcentral.
AUUGAACGCUGGCGGCAGGCUUAACACAUGCAAGUCGAACGAGCGGCGGACGGGUGAGUAAUGUCUGGGAAACUGCCUGAUGGAGGGGGAUAACUACUGGAAACGGUAGCUAAUACCGCAUACCAUCGGAUGUGCCCAGAUGGGAUUAGCUAGUUGGUGGGGUAACGGCUCACCAAGGCGACGAUCCCUAGCUGGUCUGAGAGGAUGACCAGCCACACUGGAACUGAGACACGGUCCAGACUCCUACGGGAGGCAGCAGUGGGGAAUAUUGCACAAUGGGCGCAAGCCUGAUGCAGCCAUGCCGCGUGUGUGAAGAAGGCCUUCGGGUUGUAAAGUACUUUCAGCGAGGAGGCGUUACCCGCAGAAGAAGCACCGGCUAACUCCGUGCCAGCAGCCGCGGUAAUAC